This 479-nucleotide ribosomal RNA is filed under the name uncultured bacterium. Its description in RNAcentral is "partial 16S ribosomal RNA". It matches the Rfam family "Bacterial small subunit ribosomal RNA", at positions 28 to 523 of the family's 1533-position model. The record is from RNAcentral.
GAUGAACGCUGGCGGCGUGCUUAACACAUGCAAGUCGAACGAUUAAGACCCCUUCGGGGGUGUAUAGAGUGGCGAACGGGUAAGUAACACGUGGGCAACCUGCCCCUUCCUCUGGGAUAACACGGAGAAAUCCGUGCUAAUACCGGAUACUCCAUAUCUGCGGCAUCGCGGAUAUGGGAAAGCUCCGACGGGAAGGGAUGGGCCCGCGGUCCAUUAGCUAGUCGGUGGGGUAACGGCCUACCGAGGCGACGAUGGAUAGCCGGGUUGAGAGACCGACCGGCCACAUUGGGACUGAGACACGGCCCAGACUCCUACGGGAGGCAGCAGUGGGGAAUUUUGCGCAAUGGGGGAAACCCUGACGCAGCAACGCCGCGUGCGGGAUGAAGGCCUUCGGGUUGUAAGCCGCUUUCAGCAGGGAAGAAUACAGACGGUACCUGCAGAAGAAGCUCCGGCUAACUACGUGCCAGCCGCCGCCGUAA